Molecule: small nuclear RNA, 100 nt
Filed under: Nannospalax galili (Upper Galilee mountains blind mole rat)
Lineage: Eukaryota; Metazoa; Chordata; Mammalia; Rodentia; Spalacidae
Source: RNAcentral
GUGCUUGAUUUUGCAGCACAUAUUUAAAAUUGAAACUAUUCAGAGAUCAUGUCCCCUGCAUGAGAAUGACAGGAAAAUUUGUGAUAUGUUCCAUUUUUUU